RNAcentral lists this ribosomal RNA (548 nucleotides) under uncultured bacterium. RNAcentral describes it as "bacterial SSU rRNA". It matches the Rfam family "Bacterial small subunit ribosomal RNA", at positions 355 to 896 of the family's 1533-position model. The record is from RNAcentral.
UGGGGAAUCUUGGACAAUGGGCGAAAGCCUGAUCCAGCAAUGCCGCGUGCGUGAAGAAGGCCUUCGGGUUGUAAAGCGCUUUUGUCCGGGAGGAAAUCCUAAGAGCUAAUAUCUUUUGGGGAUGACAGUACCGGAAGAAUAAGGACCGGCUAACUACGUGCCAGCAGCCGCGGUAAUACGUAGGGUCCAAGCGUUAAUCGGAAUUACUGGGCGUAAAGGGUGCGCAGGUGGUUGAUUAAGUGUGAUGUGAAAGCCCCGGGCUCAACCUGGGAAUUGCAUUGCAAACUGGUUAACUAGAGUAUGGCAGAGGGGGGUGGAAUUCCGCGUGUAGCAGUGAAAUGCGUAGAGAUGCGGAGGAACACCGAUGGCGAAGGCAACCCCCUGGGCUAAUACUGACACUCAUGCACGAAAGCGUGGGGAGCAAACAGGAUUAGAUACCCUGGUAGUCCACGCCCUAAACGAUGUCUACUAGUUGUUGGGGGAUUCGUCCCUUAGUAACGCAGCUAACGCGUGAAGUAGACCGCCUGGGGAGUACGGCCGCAAGGCUA